ACGAACGCUGGCGGCGUGCUUAACACAUGCAAGUCGAACGGAAAGGCCCUUUCGGGGGUACUCGAGUGGCGAACGGGUGAGUAACACGUGGGUGAUCUGCCCUGCACUUUGGGAUAAGCCUGGGAAACUGGGUCUAAUACCGGAUAGGACUACGGCCUGCAUGGGUUGUGGUGGAAAGCUUUUGCGGUGUGGGAUGGGCCCGCGGCCUAUCAGCUUGUUGGUGGGGUGAUGGCCUACCAAGGCGACGACGGGUAGCCG
RNAcentral lists this ribosomal RNA (258 nucleotides) under Mycobacterium sp. ISO872_OTU65. RNAcentral describes it as "partial 16S ribosomal RNA". It matches the Rfam family "Bacterial small subunit ribosomal RNA", at positions 29 to 289 of the family's 1533-position model. Lineage: Bacteria; Bacillati; Actinomycetota; Actinomycetes; Mycobacteriales; Mycobacteriaceae. The record is from RNAcentral.